AGCCUCGCCCUGGGGAAACCGCCUUCGUGAUCAUGGUAUCUCCCCUGCCAGGAGCGAGACUGUGUCUGAAAGAGCCGUUACUGGUGGGCAGUCUGGAGGACAAGAACAACAUUACCUUCCUUCACAAUCAGCCCAGGUGGUGGAGGCUUUAAAGAUCUGACUUACAAGUAACAGGAAGAAGCCCUGCGUCAAGAAUGAAGCAACAGUCCUGGCCGGUGUGACUCAAUGGUUCGGUCCCGUGCACCAAAAGUCUGCAAGUUUGA
Long non-coding RNA from Molossus molossus (Pallas's mastiff bat), 263 nucleotides. RefSeq lists it as uncharacterized. The record is from RefSeq and is a predicted model, not a curated record. The transcript is spliced from 3 exons. NCBI's taxonomy places the organism in Eukaryota, Metazoa, Chordata, Mammalia, Chiroptera, Molossidae.